AAGAUCUUCAAGGGGUUGCAAUGGAUUUUUUUCUAUGGUUCAUAGUCAGAGCCCCAAAUAUGAUGUCCAUGGCACCACUUCUAUUUGGAGCAUCGAGAAGGAACAAGGAUAAUAAACUGUUCUAAAGCACUAGUUCAAGAACAGCCUUGUACAGUUUCCUUUUACUCACAGAAGCAGCAAAGAGAUAUGAAUGACAUUUGGAGAGUAAGAUUGCUGAAGAUAUCAGCAUCCCAUCAAAGAGACAAAUUCAGCUGUCUAACUAAGACAUCUUGUUUUUCUAAUGUAGCAUUCCUCUACACUUCCU
This is a non-coding RNA of Pelobates cultripes (western spadefoot toad), 304 nucleotides long. The record is from the annotation of a GenBank genome assembly. Lineage: Eukaryota; Metazoa; Chordata; Amphibia; Anura; Pelobatidae.